AUUGAACGCUGGCGGCAUGCCUUACACAUGCAAGUCGAACGGCAGCGGGGGAGAAGCUUGCUUUUCCUGCCGGCGAGUGGCGAACGGGUGAGUAAUACAUCGGAACGUGCCCUGUAGUGGGGGAUAACUAGUCGAAAGAUUAGCUAAUACCGCAUACGACCUGAGGGUGAAAGUGGGGGACCGCAAGGCCUCAUGCUAUAGGAGCGGCCGAUGUCUGAUUAGCUAGUUGGUGGGGUAAAGGCCUAACAAGGCAACGAUCAGUAGCUGGUCUGAGAGGACGAUCAGCCACACUGGGACUGAGACACGGCCCAGACUCCUACGGGAGGCAGCAGUGGGGAAUUUUGGACAAUGGGCGAAAGCCUGAUCCAGCAAUGCCGCGUGUGUGAAGAAGGCCUUCGGGUUGUAAAGCACUUUUGUCCGGAAAGAAAUGGCUCUGGUUAAUACCUGGGGUCGAUGACGGUACCGGAAGAAUAAGGACCGGCUAACUACGUGCCAGCCGCCGCCGUAA
This 508-nucleotide ribosomal RNA is filed under the name uncultured bacterium. RNAcentral's name for it is "partial 16S ribosomal RNA". It matches the Rfam family "Bacterial small subunit ribosomal RNA", at positions 30 to 523 of the family's 1533-position model. The record is from RNAcentral.